GGCUCCAUAGUGUAGUGGUUAGCACGUAAGCUUUGCACAUAAGCUUUACACGCAGAAGGUCUUGGGUUCGCGCCCCAGAUGGAACCA
Molecule: transfer RNA, 87 nt
Filed under: Pteropus alecto (black flying fox)
Lineage: Eukaryota; Metazoa; Chordata; Mammalia; Chiroptera; Pteropodidae
Rfam family: tRNA
About the family: Transfer RNA (tRNA) molecules are approximately 80 nucleotides in length. Their secondary structure includes four short double-helical elements and three loops (D, anti-codon, and T loops).
Source: Rfam by way of RNAcentral